RNAcentral lists this transfer RNA (87 nucleotides) under Vibrio sp. MedPE-SWchi. RNAcentral's name for it is "tRNA-Leu". It matches the Rfam family "tRNA". Rfam says of the family: Transfer RNA (tRNA) molecules are approximately 80 nucleotides in length. The record is from RNAcentral. Lineage: Bacteria; Pseudomonadati; Pseudomonadota; Gammaproteobacteria; Vibrionales; Vibrionaceae.
GCCCUGGUGGUGGAAUCGGUAGACACAAGGGAUUUAAAAUCCCUCGGCGUUCGCGCUGUGCCGGUUCAAGUCCGGCCCGGGGCACCA